AUGCCGGAUUUGGCCCCAAUUGACCCCAGAGUGGCGCUCUCAUGCCGGAUUUGGCCUCAAUUGACCCCAGAGUGGUCUCCCGUUAUGAGCCGCAGGAGAACUCGGAAGCCUAUGAGCGCCUCGAGGCAGAGCAUGAUGACAAGGAUUACAUGGCCGAGCUCCGCCAUCGGGUAUCUGAAGUGCAUUGAGGAGGAGUGCUGGCACUUUGAGUUGUAUAAGGUGGGGACGACCUACAGAGCCGGGCCAUCCAGUGUGUCUGCCAUCGACCUUUGCUCCAGCAACGGCUUCGGGUCCAGGGUUGACGACGGAGACGGCUCUGAUGAUGGAGCGGGCGAGGGAGGUAGCGACAACAACAACGAUGAGGACAUGAACGGCAAGCCAAAUUGGGAGAAGAUCAUGACCAAGGAGGACUAG
Molecule: ribosomal RNA, 414 nt
Filed under: Triticum aestivum (bread wheat)
Lineage: Eukaryota; Viridiplantae; Streptophyta; Magnoliopsida; Poales; Poaceae
Description: partial small subunit ribosomal RNA
Source: RNAcentral